Salvia splendens (bonfire salvia) is the source of this 1133-nucleotide long non-coding RNA. RefSeq lists it as uncharacterized. Lineage: Eukaryota; Viridiplantae; Streptophyta; Magnoliopsida; Lamiales; Lamiaceae. The transcript has 3 exons. The record is from RefSeq and is a predicted model, not a curated record.
CUAGCCUAGCAAGUAAACGCCGGAAUCAAAUAGCACAGCAAGUAAUAUGUUGAACUUAGCUUAUAAAUGUUUAAUGGAAACGAACAAAUCGAAUGGGGCAAAUUUUACGGAUUGGCUCCGUUGUCUGCGAUUGAUGCUAAGGAUUGAUAAGAUUGAGUAUGUCUUGAAUGCACUAAUCAGUGACAUCCCUGACAAGAAACACGUUGAAGAUGUGCAUUGGCUCAGUGUAUCAUGUUGUCAUCGAUGAAUUCGAUACUACAAAGACAAUAUGAACAUAUGCUUCCAUAUGUGAUGAUUCAACACUUGAAGAGUUUGUAUGCUCCACAAGCUCAAACUACGGAGUAUGAGACACUCCAAGAUCUAUUCAAGUGUAAGCUGCAUGAUGAAGGCAAAGUCUAUGAGCAUGUGUCGCACAUGAUAGGUUUGAUUGAGAGGUUGACAUCGUUUGGAACGGUACUUUCCUCAAAUAUUUCAACAAAUUUGAUUUUGGAGUCUCUUCUUAGUUGUUUUGAAAAUUUCAUUAUAAAUUUCAACAUGAACAACAUGAAGGUUGGUAUGCCAGAAUUGCACAAUAUGCUUACGACUUAUGAGUCUUCCACUGCUAAAGGAAAAUCGUUGCUCAUGGUGGGCUCUUCUGCAAAUUCUUCAAAAUGGAAGAAUGAACAGCCGAAGAAGAUAACAUCUAAGGAUAUUGUUCUAAAGCCAAAAGGUGAAGGGGUUAAGAAGAAGCCGAUACUAUUUAAGGAUGAAUGACUUUUUUGUCAUAAAAAGGGACACUGGAAGAGAGACUGCCUAGAACUCGGGGCAUAAGGUGCAAUGAGUGGGAGCUUAGGGUCUAAGUGACAGCAAGAAAGUAAAGUCAGAGGAAGUGAACCCACACAUAAAAAAUGGGGCAAGAGUAGUUGUAAUAAACUAAAAAUGUGGUGCAUCGUUAAAUGGCAACAUGAAUGAAGUCCUAGUUAACAGUAUGAUUAUCUAUCCAUACUUGUAUAGCUUCAUAUAUUGAUGAAUCAUGUUAUUUCUAUCUAUACCAGGUGAAGAACCAAGAUUUAAGAACUUAAUAUAAAUCUAAUCCUAAUAAGGUUUGAAAUGUACUAUGUCCAUGUCCGUUUCUCACUUUGACUUACUAUGGA